RNAcentral lists this small RNA (123 nucleotides) under Marmota monax (woodchuck). Lineage: Eukaryota; Metazoa; Chordata; Mammalia; Rodentia; Sciuridae. The record is from RNAcentral.
GCUUGGCAUGGUGGCACAUGUCUGUAAUCCCAGUGACUUGGGAGGCAGAGGCAGGAGGUUUGCAAGUUCAAAGCCAGCUUCCUCAACUGAGGCCCUGAGCAACUUAUCAAGAUCCUGUCUCGA